AUGCACAACGGCGUGGCUGCCUCUGCCGCCGACGACAUUGCCGAGCUUGCGAUCACCUCGCUUCCCCUCGACAUGCGGUUCCGCCCGUUCCAUCUGAGGCAGUACGGCGGGUUCUGGCUCCUGGAGGAGUUCCUCGUGGUCGUUCUGGCCGUCCACUCGGUCUUCGAGCCGAGGCCGUCGGAUGUCCUCCUUGCCAGCUUCCCAAAGUGCGGUACCACCUGGCUCAAGGCUAUCGCCUUCUCCACGCGCAACCGAGCCGAGCACCCACCAUGUGACCUCAACCACCCUCUCCGCCAUGGCAACCCCCAUGAUGUCGUCAGGUACCUGGAGAUGGCGUUCGCGUAG
This 345-nucleotide ribosomal RNA is filed under the name Triticum aestivum (bread wheat). RNAcentral describes it as "partial small subunit ribosomal RNA". Lineage: Eukaryota; Viridiplantae; Streptophyta; Magnoliopsida; Poales; Poaceae. The record is from RNAcentral.